Molecule: small nuclear RNA, 189 nt
Filed under: Maylandia zebra (zebra mbuna)
Lineage: Eukaryota; Metazoa; Chordata; Actinopteri; Cichliformes; Cichlidae
Description: U2 spliceosomal RNA (ENSMZEG00005028554.1)
Rfam family: U2 spliceosomal RNA
About the family: U2 is a small nuclear RNA (snRNA) component of the spliceosome (involved in pre-mRNA splicing). Complementary binding between U2 snRNA (in an area lying towards the 5' end but 3' to hairpin I) and the branchpoint sequence (BPS) of the intron results the bulging out of an unpaired adenosine, on the BPS, which initiates a nucleophilic attack at the intronic 5' splice site, thus starting the first of two transesterification reactions that mediate splicing.
Source: Rfam by way of RNAcentral
AUCUUUUCUUGGCUUUUUAGCUAAAAAAAAAAAUAAUCUGUUCUUAUCAGUUUAAUAUCUGAUACGUCCCCUACCCGGGGACCAUAUAUUAAAUUGAUUUUUGGAGCAGGGAGAUGGAAUAGGGGCUUGCUCCGUCCACUCCACGCAUCGACCUGGUAUUGCAGUAUUUCUAGGAACGGUGCACCCCCU